RNAcentral lists this ribosomal RNA (251 nucleotides) under uncultured bacterium. RNAcentral's name for it is "partial 16S ribosomal RNA". It matches the Rfam family "Bacterial small subunit ribosomal RNA", at positions 524 to 776 of the family's 1533-position model. The record is from RNAcentral.
UACGGGGGAGCAAGCGUUGUUCGGAUUACUGGGCGUAAAGGCGCGUAGGCGGCCACCGCAAGUCGACUGUGAAAUCUCCGGGCUUAACCCGGAAAGGUCAGCCGAUACUGCGGGGCUAGAGUGCAGAAGGGGCAACUGGAAUUCUCGGUGUAGCGGUGAAUGCGUAGAUAUCGAGAGGAACACCUGCGGCGAAGGCGGGUUGCUGGGCUGACACGUGACGCUGAGGCGCGAAAGCUAGGGGAGCGAACGGG